RNAcentral lists this ribosomal RNA (399 nucleotides) under uncultured bacterium. Its description in RNAcentral is "bacterial SSU rRNA". It matches the Rfam family "Bacterial small subunit ribosomal RNA", at positions 975 to 1375 of the family's 1533-position model. The record is from RNAcentral.
CAGGGCUUGACAUCCCUCUGAAACCUCUAGAGAUAGAGGCUCCCUUCGGGGCAGAGGUGACAGGUGGUGCAUGGUUGUCGUCAGCUCGUGUCGUGAGAUGUUGGGUUAAGUCCCGCAACGAGCGCAACCCUUAUCUUUAGUUGCCAGCAUUCAGUUGGGCACUCUAGGGAGACUGCCGUCGACAAGACGGAGGAAGGUGGGGAUGACGUCAAAUCAUCAUGCCCCUUAUGUCCUGGGCUACACACGUGCUACAAUGGAUGGAACAACGGGCAGCUAACUCGCGAGAGUAUGCAAAUCCCUUAAAACCAUUCUCAGUUCGGAUUGCAGGCUGCAACUCGCCUGCAUGAAGCCGGAAUCGCUAGUAAUCGCGGAUCAGCAUGCCGCGGUGAAUACGUUCCC